This 432-nucleotide unclassified non-coding RNA is filed under the name soil metagenome. RNAcentral's name for it is "partial contains 5.8S ribosomal RNA, internal transcribed spacer 2, and large subunit ribosomal RNA". The stretch from base 1 to 120 matches the Rfam family "5.8S ribosomal RNA", at positions 35 to 154 of the family's 154-position model. The record is from RNAcentral.
GAUGAAGAACGUAGCGAAAUGCGAUACGUAAUGUGAAUUGCAGAAUUCAGUGAAUCAUCGAAUCUUUGAACGCAUAUUGCGCUCUCUGGUAUUCCGGAGAGCAUGCUUGUUUGAGUAUCAGUAAACACCUCAACUUCCAUAUCUUUUUUGAAAUGGGAGUUGGACUUGAGUGAUCCCAACGCUUUUCCUCACCGAAAAGUGGCGGGUUACUUGAAAUGCAGGUGCAGCUGGACUUUUCUCUGAGCUAUAAGCAUAUCUAUUUAAUCUGCCUAAAAACAGAUUAUUACCUUUGCUGCAGCUAACAUAAAGGAGAUUAGUUCUUGUGCUGACUGAUGCAGGAUUCACAAAGACAGGCUUCGGCCGACUUUGUAAACUCGAUCUCAAAUCAAGUAAGACUACCCGCUGAACUUAAGCAUAUCAAUAAGCGGAGGA